This is a non-coding RNA of Lathyrus oleraceus (garden pea), 74 nucleotides long. The record is from the annotation of a RefSeq genome assembly. NCBI's taxonomy places the organism in Eukaryota, Viridiplantae, Streptophyta, Magnoliopsida, Fabales, Fabaceae.
GGUUUCGUGGUGUAGUUGGUUAUCACGUUAGUCUAAUACACUGAAGGUCCCUAGUUUGAGCCUCGGCGAAGCCA